Non-coding RNA from Aegilops tauschii subsp. strangulata, 6233 nucleotides. Lineage: Eukaryota; Viridiplantae; Streptophyta; Magnoliopsida; Poales; Poaceae. The record is from RefSeq and is a predicted model, not a curated record.
GCCCACCGGGGCCCGCACCGCCACGGACGAGAGAGAGAGGGAGAGGGAAUAUGCCCAGUCCCCACCGUCCUUCCUUCCCCUUCUUCGACACCGACGCCAUCGAGCGGCGCGCCACGUGCCGCCGGCGGCGGUUCGGCCUCACCGAGAGCGGCCGCCUGACGCGGGGAUGGGCGACGGCGGCGCGGCGCGCGGAGCGACAUCGAGCGCCGCCGCUGGAGGUCGCUUCGAGGGGCGGCGGCGUGGGCCGGCCGGCGAGCGCCGCGGGCGGGGCGUGGGCCCUCCUCUCGACGGCGCGCUCGGGGCUUGGUCACCGGCCAGUUCAGCUGCUCGGACGCUGAAGGGCGUGAUCAGGAGGACGCGCAGCUGCGGCAGCGCCUCGUCCGCACCGGCCCGCGGCGCGGGCCGGCUCGUUACCCGCCAACGCCGUCGAACGGCGUGCCUCGUGCCGCGGCCUUCUUCCGCGCGGCCGGAGGUUCGGCCUCACGGCGAUUGGCGGGCCAUGUCGGCUGCAUUUGGCCGCGCGGGGCGAGCGCCGUCGCUGAGGCUUGCUUCGAGGGGGCAGCGGCAUGGACCGGCCGGUGAGCGCGGCGUACGGGACGUGGCCCCUCCUCUCCGUACCCAAGGCCUUGUGCCUGGUAGGGAGGCUGCCGAAGAGGUGUCCGCGGAGAUGCGGUGGGUGAUCCCCGACGGCGCUUCUGAAGAGGAUGAGGUCGAUAGCUCCGACGACGGUGACCGGGGCACUGCGACCCCACGGUCGCCCUCGGCUCCCGUGGUGGCGGUGGCGGCUACUCGGACGCUCAAGAGGAUGUGGAGGGCGCGCUGCUGCGCCAGCGCUUCGGCCGCGUCGGCUCGUUCGACGUCGAAGCUCCCGAUGUCCCGGACACUGGAGGAUGUGAUAUCCAAAAAACAAGAAAUCCGGGAGGCAGUUGAGCUACCAUUGACACACCAUGAGUUGUACUGCUCUAUGGUCCUUUAGGCACUGGCAAGACCAUGCUUGCUAAAGCGGCGGCACAUCACACUACUGCUGCUUUUAUCUGAGUAAUUGGUUCAGAGUUUCUGCAGACGUACUUGAGUGAGGUUUCCUUGUUUAUGCUCAAGACUUCCAGUGUAAAUAAGUUGGACUUGUUUGAACUGAAGUGUUCGGGGAGAUCUGUUAACACAAGCUGAAGAGAAUGCCCCGGCUAUAAUAUUCAUCGAUGAGAUUGACGCUAUAGCCAGUGCUCGAUUCGAUGCUCAUACUGGGGCUGACGAGAAGUUCAGCGUAUUCUGAUGGAGCUACUCAAUCAGGUUUUCAACUCAAGGUAUCAUUGGUCGAACUCAAGAUGUCUUUGUGGAUCAAGGAGCACCUUGAGACUUCAUCUAUGCUGAAGAAGCUACUUUUGAUGCUUGUUCUCUUUGGUACUUCUAUGGUGAUAGCGGAUGGUGUUGUCACACCAGCAAUGUCAGGUUCAUAUAUUUCUGAUGCAUUGUUCGUCGUAUUUCUCUUCACGUAGUCUUAUGAUCUUACAUAUUUGCUUUCAGCAGUACCAUUGUGUUACCAGUUUUCAUCUUCUAACAGUAUUGCUUGCAUUUUUUUUCCUGUCGGUAAAAUCUGCAGUGAUAACUGCUGUCAAUGGCUUGAAGGUUGGAAUAUCUAGUUUUAAUGAAGGUGACCUUGAAUAUGUUGGUUGGUAUUAACCGGUUAAAUAGAAAAAUGUGUAACUGCAUAGAAGUGCAGGAUAGUCACCUUCUAUUUUGAUUUUUUUUUUCCGCAUUUCUCAUUGUUCUUGAGUCUGUAAAGGUUUGGAACAUUCAAAGUCGGGCUUGCUGUUGGACCUGCCUUGUUCAUAUGGUUUUGCUGCCUUUCUGGGAUAGGAGUUUAUGACAUUAUGACAUGAUACAGAAGUAUUGCAGGCAUUCAGUCCUAUAUAUACCUACUACUAUUUUGAAAGAAACCCAACUCAAGCUUGGAUGUCUCCCUGGGCCUGCCUUUUAUAUAUGUUAAACAUGUAUGCUUUUUGACCAUAUUCUUAAUGUUAGUUUCAGGUGCAUAGUUUCUGCUUGAGUUACAUAAAAUUAGUUACUGUCUGUCACGUCCUUUUGUUUUUCUUCUAUAGGGAUUCUGAAACUCAUAAAUAUGUUGAGUGCAUUUGUGGUGUUACUAAACAUAACUAGACCUCUUGUUCUUACUAGUAACUGCGUCACAUGCAAUGCAUGUCAUGACCAAAUUCAACAUCCUGCGUCAGAUUGUGGAACCUCUGUCGUAAAUGCAGAACUUCAUGUGCAUAUGGAUUUGACAUUAUGAGAAAGAGAAAACUAAUUUCGAGAUAUAAGCCACUCAGGCUAAAACUAUUAUUUCGAGAUAUGUGCCAUUCACGCUUCUAUUUUACUAAGAUACUAAAACUAUUUGCAUCAUCACAAACAUGAUGCAUUUCUGAAACUCAGGUCCUCACAGAGAUCCUAGAAAGAUUGAAAUGGUCCCCCCCCCCCCCCCCCCCCUUAUAUUUAGAGUCAGCAUCCAGUAUAAUCACAGGCCACUUAGUUAAAGCUACUUCAACUUAAGAUUAGAGGUCAAACAUCAGGGCAAAUAGAUUAGAGAAUAUUACUUUUCCUUGAGCUUUAUGAUUAGUAAUGAUUGUUCUGUAUAUUUGGCAGGAGGAAUAUUUGCUUUAUACUCUUUAGUACUAUGCAGGAAUGCAAAGGCUAGUCUGCUCCCUAGCUAACUGCUCUCUGAGACCCGUAUAUCAGGUUUCCAACUCAAGGUACCAUUGGUAGAACUCAAGAGGUCUUUGUGGAUCAAAGAGCACCUUGAGACUUCAUCUAUGCUGAAGAAGCUACUUUUGAUGCUUGUUCUUUUUUGUACUUCUGUGGUGAUAGCGGAUGGCGUUGUUACACCAGCAAUGUCAGGUAAAAUCAGCUGUGAUGUCUGCUGUAGAUGGCUUGAAGGCUGGAAUAUCUAGUGUCAGUGAAGGUGAAGUGGUCACGACGUUGCAUUUCUUGUUGUUCUAUUCAGUCUGCAAAGGUUUGGAACACGUAAAGUUGGCUUGCUGUUGGACCUGCUUUGUUCAUAUGGUUUUGCUGCCUUUCUGGGACAGGAAUUUAUAGCAUAAUUACAUAUGGUACAGAAGUAUUUUGAAAGAAACCUAACUCAAGCUUGGAUCUCUUCAGGGGGCUGCCUUUUAUGUGAAACAAGUAUUUUUUUUUACCAUAUUGUUCAUGUUAGUUGUGAUGAAACUUGUUUGAAGUUCUCUAGGAAUGUAUUUGCUUCAGGUGCAUAUUUUUGUUUGAGUGACAUAAAAUUUAUUACGGUCUGUCAUGUGUCCUUCAUUUUUUCUUCUAUAGGAGUUCCAGAACUCACAAAUAUGCUAAGCGCAUUUGUGGCUUUAGUAAACAUAAUUAGACCUUUUGUUCUUACUAGUAACUGUGCCACGUGGAAUGCGCUUGAUGACCAAAUUGGAUACACCGCAAGCACAAGAAUUUGAAGAAAUCCUCUGCUGAUUUCAUUUUGUGGAACCUCUGUCGUUAACAUUAAAUGUCAUGUACAUCUGUAUUUGACAUCAUGGAAAAGAGAACUAAUUCCUUUCAUUGCUAACAAAUUUAACUCAUUAUUGCUAAAACUAUUAUUUUGAUAUAUAAGGGCCUGUUUGGUUCCAAUAAGUCACCUGACUUAUAAGUCAGGUGACUUAAAACCAGUGACUUAUAAGUCACGCCUGUUUGGUUGUCACCUGACUUAUAAGUCACCUGACCACACCUUUCCACCUUGUUUUUUUAUGUAAAGGUGGUGGGACCCACGCAAAAGGGGGUGACUUAUAAGUUUUAAGUUGGGGUGGAGCAACUUAUGACUUAUAAGUUGGGGUGACUUAUAAGUUGGGUCUGUUUGGCAAAAUAAGUCACUUUUUUCACUUUUCGACUUAUAAGUUGGUGACUUAUUUGGAACCAAACAGGCCCUAAGCCAAACACGCUUCUAUUUUACUAAGAUACAAAACGAUUCACAUCAGUCAACAAUAUGACGCAUUUCUGAAACCUUGAAAUGGUUUUCCCCCCUGUUAUAUUUUGAGUCAGCAUCCAGUACAUUCACAGGCCACUUAGUUAAUAGUUAAAGCUACUUCACUUAAGAUGAGAGGUCAAACAUCAGGGCAAGCAAAUGACGCUCAGGUGAUUUUGGAUUUACUAUCCAUUUAAUAAUCAGUACUAUGGUUUCUGCGUUAGUAAAGUAUGUAAAGAGAGGGUAAUCUUGAACCCAAAUUAAUGCAAAUUCUGUAAGAGGAUAUUACUGGAAAUAAUCAUCACCUAGAAAAAUGUAAGAAUCAUCUCUAAUGUUGUGUUGCUGACACCCUACAAAUAGUGUGGACUUUAUGGACAUUCUCAUCACCCAAUGUACAAUAUGAACGAUAUUAGCCUUUGCAAUACAUAAUAUAUGUCAUUCUACAUCUACUUACCUUAGGUUAGAAGUAAAUAGAUCUUAAGCAUUGAGUAAAUUAUUAAAAGUUUGUAGCAUAGAUAUUUACAAGAUUGGUUUUUCUGCAGGAUCCGAGGCAAUGUUUGCUGAUUUGCUACUCUGUUAGAUCAGUUCAACUAGUCUAUCAGUUCAGGUAGUCUUUUGUACUGUUGUGGGCUCCAUCUUGCACUUCCAACACCUAGUUGAGAACUUACUAUUGCUCAUAUGUUUUGGAGCUUACCUUUGCAUGUCUUGUUCUUCCAUGCCUUCUACUGGGUUACCCAGGGCAACCUGCAGUUUUUGUGAAGAACUUGACUGAAAAUGAGAAGGUCUUCUGUCUAUCCCGAGGACUAUUUCAAAUCUUAUAUGUUUAUUGCCAUGCAAUGUUUUCACACAUUAUGAAAUAAUUUUUAAUAUUAUAGUGAAACUAAGCUUCUUUUUACUAUGUUUAUCCAUUUAUGCUACAAACUUAUAACAGUUUACUCCAUUUAUGCUGAUUUUACAGUGUUUCUCAGGAUAUACGGUGUUGAAAUUGCUAGCAUUGGAUCUGUUUAGUAUGUGCCUAUCAUGUAAAUUGAAUUUGGUUGUUGAGAAUGGUUGUCUGGUCAAUAUUACUUUGUGCUAAGUUGCCUUCUCUAUCCUGAUGGACUUGCAUGGUAGUGUUUAAUCUCCUUACAACACUGCCGAUCCCACUAUUUGACUUGGAUCUGCAAACAUACAGAAUAUUUAUAACAUAUGUUAUUUUGAAUAAAGAGCAAUGUCCUAAGUCAUUCACGCGCUGAUUUGUUAUAUAUAAUUCCUUUCUUUCAUUUGAACUGUCACCACUACCGCCACACCACAUAAUCUUUCUAAUGCCCAGUAUUUACUUCAGCCUACAGGCAUAGCUGAACUUGGGGUCAUGAUGAUCACUACCAUAUUGGUGACCAUCAUAGUGCUUCUGAUAUGGCAGGUCAACAUCAUUGUCGAUCUAUGCUUUCUCACCAUCCUCCUGUGCCUGCAGCUAUUUUUCUUUUCUUCAGUUAUGGGGAUUGUACCAGAUGGUAGUUGGGUUCUUUUGGCAUUUGCGGCUGUACUGUAUUUGGCAAUGUACCUGAGGAACUAUGAGAUCAAGUUGAAGUACGGAACUGAGGUUAAGCAAAAGCUUUUGGUGGAUUUAAUGAUCUUUGGUCUCUUCCUGACCAUAAUGCCUGCCAUUUAUUCGAUGAUCUUUUUUGUCUGCAUCAAGUGGGUCUCUGUUCCUGUUGUUCUUCAGAAUGAAAGGUUUCUCUUUCGCCGAGUCUGCCCAAAGAGCAACCACAUUUUUAGCUGCAUUGCUUGGCUGGGCAGGUGGUCAACUGGAGACAAUAUGGGGCAUGGCUCUUUGCGUGGAGCUCUUUAACUUGAGUCCAGAGAUCUUUUUCUACUACUCCCUCUGUAAAGAAAUAUAAGAGCUUUUAGAUCACUACUUUAGGUAACUAAACGUUCUUAUAUUUGUUUACGGAGGGAGUACUAUUGUACUUGAGUCCUCUCUGGACACUAUCAAGAAAACCAUUCGAUUAGAUGCAGAUGUGUUUUGCCAACUAAUGAUACUACUGAAAUUUUCUGAACAACAAUACAAGAUAGAGAGCCCUUGGUCUUAAUAAAGCCAACUUUUUCUUCUACCUUUGAAGUUCAUUAAAAAAUUUCCAUGUUCAAUUCUUUGCAGUUUGGCUCGUCAUGUUUAAAAUUUUAACUUUACAACACAGUGGGUGUUGCCCUGCCUGCGAAUCUGCGAUGACACUUGUAUGGCUGCACAUGGUGCCUAUUUUAUUUUAUGACAUCUGUUGCUAUCAAGCCC